RNAcentral lists this transfer RNA (64 nucleotides) under Heterocephalus glaber (naked mole-rat). It matches the Rfam family "tRNA". From Rfam's summary of the family: Transfer RNA (tRNA) molecules are approximately 80 nucleotides in length. Their secondary structure includes four short double-helical elements and three loops (D, anti-codon, and T loops). Lineage: Eukaryota; Metazoa; Chordata; Mammalia; Rodentia; Bathyergidae. The record is from Rfam by way of RNAcentral.
UGUGUGGCUUAAAGGUAGAGCACAUGCUUUGCAUGCCUGGGCCCUGAGUUCCAUUCCCAGCACA